RNAcentral lists this small RNA (170 nucleotides) under Coturnix japonica (Japanese quail). RNAcentral describes it as "TUC338 (ENSCJPG00005010986.1)". Lineage: Eukaryota; Metazoa; Chordata; Aves; Galliformes; Phasianidae. The record is from RNAcentral.
UUGACAGCGCUGGAAAUUGAAGUUCCUUUUUUAUCUACAGAACAGGUACAGCAUGUACAGAGGCAACACAAACCCAGACUGCUGAUGUAUCUUAGCUCUGUCCUGGGCUUAGCAAUGUGAAGGGAAGAGGGAAUAAGCUUCUCCUCAGGGCUCUGUGAUGUUGUGUUGCU